GUCAUAUGCCAAAGCAGCAAGUUUCAUCACCUCAAGUUGCAAAUGACAGUUCGCCCCAUGCUCAUUCUUCAAGUGAUUUGUCGGGGUCAAGUUCUGCUAAAACUAGGCAGGCUGUUACAACUGGUCCUCUCACUGCGUCUCAUAGUGUAGCUUCAGUGAAUAACCCAAAUAAUAUUCCUCAGCAGCAGUUUUCUGCUCAUGGCAGAGAGAACAAUUUGCCUCCUAGACAACCAAUUAUGGCUAGCAGUGGAUUACCUCCGAUGCAUUACCCACAGUCAUCUGUAAACCCAAACCAGGGUGCGGAUAACACCUCGCUGCCUAAACCCGCCUCUAAUGCCCAAGAAAUCUUGCAGACGCAGUAUGCCAGGCAGUUGAGUCGACCUUCAUCACAUUCUGCAGCUUCUUCUCCAGAUGGGAACUCGGGGAAUCCCCUUAUGUCUCAGGGUGGAAAUGUCCGUCAGGUGCAACCACAACUGGGUUUCAGUAAGCAGCAACUGCAUGUUCUUAAAGCCCAAAUACUUGCAUUUAGACGUAUAAAGAAAGGAGAUGGGACAUUACCACGUGAAUUACUCCAAGCUAUAAUUCCGCCACCUCUGGAUGUGCAAAUGCAGCAAACAUUUCCACCUGGUGGUAUAGUAAAUCAGGAGAGAACACCAGGAAAAGGUUCAGAAGA
This 673-nucleotide unclassified non-coding RNA is filed under the name Hevea brasiliensis (rubber tree). The record is from RNAcentral. Lineage: Eukaryota; Viridiplantae; Streptophyta; Magnoliopsida; Malpighiales; Euphorbiaceae.